Molecule: long non-coding RNA, 1113 nt
Filed under: Anser brachyrhynchus (Pink-footed goose)
Lineage: Eukaryota; Metazoa; Chordata; Aves; Anseriformes; Anatidae
Description: lncRNA (ENSABRG00000010963.1)
Source: RNAcentral
GCCAAGUGCCACAGCCAUGGCUGACGUGGUCUUUAUGUGUCUGCUGACCCCAAAAUCACUAUUUCUGCAGGUGCAUUUCACUCUGGUGGCAUUUGGAUCAGGGCUGGAUGGACCGAAGGAAUGAACACACAGCUUUCCCCUGAUUAAUGCAUCUGAAUAAUUGGUGUAUGAAAGAUGAGUCUUUCCUCUUGCUUUCCCCACUGUCCUCUGUUUGAAGGAGAGCGGAGACGUACGUUGAGUUCUUUUCCCUUUGGAGAUGCUUGAACUGAUGGAGAUACAAAUUAGGCUAUUGCAGCACACACAUUUCAAAUGAGGGAGGCCUAUUCUGAUGGAAACAUCUGGUUUCAUUACACCAGGGCAGUCACCAGAGUCUGUAGUUUGUCCCUGGAUGACAGAGGUGUCUCUCACACACACCUGAGCACUUCCCCUGCGCGGUGCCGUGUUUGCAGCUGCGGGAUCGGAUUCUCGCUGUAGGAACCGCGGAGACAUCGGCGAAUUCAGCAGAGUUCUGCGGAUUUACACCUCCCUGGAGCCCUGGUUGAUGUAAUCCCAGCUUGGUCAGUGCGGGCUCCCUUUGCCUGUGUGUCCCGGUUAUCACAGGCUGGGACGAAGCCACAGGGAGCUUGACCUGUGCUUGUUUAUUUCCAACGUGCCCACAACUGCAACAAAACCCCGCUGCUCCGAAUGCGCUGUUCCGGCUCCUCUGUGUGCAUGAGGCUCGGAGACUGAAGCUGGUUAAUUGUGGCAAAUGUGGUUUUCUGGGACAUCUAAGGGUUAUGUCACUUUUCUAAAAAUCUCUUUGAUCUUGAAUCAAAAGAAGUGGGUGGGUUUUUAACGUCGUCUUAACUGUGUGGCUUUUACAAAUUAAAAACCUACUGGAAAUUGGUUAUACAAUAUACGCUUGUGUUUCUCUAAGACUGAUGAGACCACCUUUGACUCUAAGCUGCUUUUUCUAGCAGAUCAUCAGGGAAAUUCUGGUAACAAACAGUUGGGAAAAGCUAGAGGGAGCUUUUGAAAUAAGAACUGUGCUUUUCUCCGUAUUUUGCAAGCCAAGGCUUUAAUUUACAAUAAGCACAAUAAGGGCAGAAAUAAAGCAGUUAGUGUGCUGUCUCA